CUCACCUCUCUGGAUCCCCCUCCAGUCUGUUCCCCACGCAGCAGGCAAGGUGAUCCAUGUGAAAGAUGAGGAAACUGAGGCCCAGAGAGAUUAAGCAAUUUGCCAAAGAGCACAUAACCGUGCUGAAGUCCUGGCUUUUCCUGAAGGCCUCCAGGCUUAGGAAUCUGACUCUUACUGAGGGCUGGCGGGGCCCAAACUUCAGACAGUCUUCCUAACCAGGCAUCUGUGCCAGCAGCUCGAGCAGCAGAUGAGACCUUGGGGCCCUCGAGGAGGCGCAGUGAAGAGACGGGUGAUAAGCUGAUGCUUAUUACGUGCUUGAGAAUUCACCAAGGCCCUUUCUCCUGCCUCUUCUUAUCAUAAUCAUUUCCACUUCCCCACAAGCCCCACAGACCUUGAGCACAUCGGCCCUCCCAGCACAUGUGGGGAAGGGACCUCUCUCUCUUCUCUAUGGGGUGGAUGGGGGACAGGGCGUGGGGUCCCUGGAAAAGAAUAACACUCCCAUCUCAGCUCUGCUUCUCAACUGCCCACAUGGCCCGUCCCUCCGUGGGCCCCAGUCCCCAACUGUAAGCAAAGAGGGUGGGCUGGAGGACCAUUAUGGCUCUUCUAGCUCUGAAAAUUCUAGACUCCUGCUUUGAAGACAUUUUGAAAAUCAAGAUCUUUGGUCAGGUCAGAGGAGUGGACCACACGUUUUACUAAACCAGGCUGGGCUGGGCGUGCUUGGCUGCUGGCUGUGUGAUGGAGACCCAGAGAGCCAAAGCCCAGUGUGCAUGGGGAAGUUGACCAUCGGGUGGCUUUGCCUUCAGAACAGAUAACCUGCAAAGUGGAUCUUUGGGCUGCAGAGACUCCAGCCUUGCCUGCCGAUCUGAGGCUGCCCCUGCUCUCAGCAGGGUCUCACAGGAAGCUGGGCUGGUUGUCCCCCUUUUGAUGAGCUGACUCGAGUCACUGACGGCCACUCUGUGCCAGGUGCUACGCUGGGCACUGAGGUUCAGGUGAAUCAGACCCAGGCCCUGGCGUCUCAGAGCUCCCAACCUUUCUCCCCUCCUUCAAGGCCCAGCUGGAACACCCCUCUUCCAGGAAUUCUCCCUGGCUUCCAGCUCUGACUUCUAAUGUCCCCCUGGUGUGGUACAAACCUAGCCCACACCCAGGAGCUUUCCAGGGCACCAGGACCCACAAACCCUGGACUGUGAAGAGGUCAAGACAGGUCCCGGCAGCCCUACCCCGUGCUGGGGCUCAGGAGUUGUGGUCAGAAUUGUCGCUUGGCAACAAGGACUUAUGACACAGCCCACAUCUGUCCUGGCUGGAAGCAAAGGCACCAAUUUGACCCAGCACCCAUGUGUUGGGCUCAGAAGCUCCUAAGUAAGCAAGGACAUUGUGUUGUCCAAAUGUUCCAAGUAAUCUGCAGAGGGGCAGGGUCACCUUGCGACAGUGGAGAACACAGGGGCUCUGCAUCCCAGGCCCGCCUCUUCCCAGCUGUGUGAGGCUGGCAGGUCACAUAAACUCUGUGGGCCUCAGUGUCAUCGUCUCUAAAAUGGGCUAAUAAUGCCUCCUAGCACAGUCACUGUGCAGCAGCUUAAACUAGUUAACGGGUUCAGAUGCUGCCAGUGUUCCAGAGAUGUGUUCUUCUCCUUCCCGGGCCCUCUGAGGCUGGCAUUCACCACCCCAACACACUGAGUCUGCUCCCAGAGGACACCUUCCCCCUCGGAGGGACACCAAAGCUCACUCUGGGCCUCCGCCCACCCCACACAAACAUAGGCUGGGCAAUGCUGGCUGGGGGCAAGACAGGGCCCUGAUGUGAUGAGACACGCCCUGCCGAGUCCUCAACUGGUCAUGUCCAGAGAAGCAGCCCCAAGGGCACCCCCUAGCAGUGGGAAAGAUCUGUUUCCACCAGUCUGUGAAGACGGCCCCUGCCCCAGGUACCUAGCCUGGCCUGGGCCCUGCUGCUCCCAUCUGUGCCAUGGUAGAGGCUCCCCAGAACAGGACAUGGGCAGCUCG
Balaenoptera acutorostrata (minke whale) is the source of this 1992-nucleotide long non-coding RNA. RefSeq lists it as uncharacterized. Lineage: Eukaryota; Metazoa; Chordata; Mammalia; Artiodactyla; Balaenopteridae. The record is from RefSeq and is a predicted model, not a curated record. The transcript has 4 exons.